CUCGAGUCCACAGUGCUGAACAUGUGUGGAAGCUUCUCCAGCAACAUUACAUGAAUGUUGCACAUAGGUGCAUCAGGACAGGUUUGGAUUCUGUGACGGACUUCAGCAACAAAAUCAGUGAGUCACUUGAGCCAACUCCAAGUGUGUCUCAAGUGAGUGUGGCCGAGACAGAAACACUUCCUAAGAUUCUUGACAAGCCUGGGCAGAAACAAUUAAAGAAAGGGAAAAAUAGUCUUCCAAAGAUGGACAACCGACAUAAAAGGGCAGCAGCUAAAAAUGUACACUCCAAGAAAGGAGCAACUAGGAAAUCAAAGGUAUCUGGUGAUAAAACAAACAUCUCA
Molecule: long non-coding RNA, 341 nt
Organism: Alosa sapidissima (American shad)
Lineage: Eukaryota; Metazoa; Chordata; Actinopteri; Clupeiformes; Clupeidae
Exons: 3
Source: RefSeq, a predicted model, not a curated record